CGUUUGCUACUAAACUUUGCCGAAUGUCAUCGAUCGCUGUUCAACAUCACUACAUGGCUAAUUAUGUGUUUUAGCUAGUUGGUUGUGAUACGCCCCUAGCUUCAUUACUGACCCGAAAUCAAAGGUUUAACAUCAAAGAGAGCGAACUGAACUAAUUGGCUGCUAUGACAACUGACAAGGCGACACCUCCAAUGGCUACUGCAGUGGCACCGAAGAGCCAUUUCCAGCUGACAACCUGUGGACAAUAUACAAUAAAUUUUGUCGACAUGAGCAGGUGAAGCAUCUUGAGAGGAUGGUCUCACCCAUGACGACCUGGCCUGGUGUUUCUGCAUGCCGCUGCUGCC
Oncorhynchus masou masou (cherry salmon) is the source of this 344-nucleotide long non-coding RNA. RefSeq lists it as uncharacterized. The transcript is spliced from 3 exons. NCBI's taxonomy places the organism in Eukaryota, Metazoa, Chordata, Actinopteri, Salmoniformes, Salmonidae. The record is from RefSeq and is a predicted model, not a curated record.